This 224-nucleotide ribosomal RNA is filed under the name Plica plica (tree runner). RNAcentral describes it as "partial 12S ribosomal RNA". It matches the Rfam family "Bacterial small subunit ribosomal RNA", at positions 869 to 1212 of the family's 1533-position model. The record is from RNAcentral. Lineage: Eukaryota; Metazoa; Chordata; Lepidosauria; Squamata; Tropiduridae.
CCGCCAGAGAAUUACAAGCGAAAAGCUCAAAACUCAAAAGACUUGGCGGUGUCCCACACCCGACUUAGAGGAGCCUGUCCUAUAAUCGAUAACCCACGAUAAACCUAACCGCCCUUUGCCAAUCCGCCUAUAUACCGCCGUCGAAAAUCUACCUCACAAGAGAAAUACUGUAGAUUAAAUAGUAAAACACUAAAACGUCAGGUCAGGUGUAGCUUAUAGGGCGG